Long non-coding RNA from Equus caballus (horse), 4872 nucleotides. NCBI's taxonomy places the organism in Eukaryota, Metazoa, Chordata, Mammalia, Perissodactyla, Equidae. The record is from Ensembl.
UGUGAGGUCAUUCUGGGUGUGCUGUGGCCCUGGUUGUGCGGUGGCCCUAGGUGAGCAGUGGCCCUGGUUGUGAGGUCACUCUGGGUGUGCUGUGGCCCUGGUUGUGCGGUGGCCCUGGGUGAGCAGUGGCCCUGGUUGUGAGGUCACUCUGGGUGUGCAGUGGCCCCAGGUGUGCAGUGGCCCUGGUUGUGAGGUCACUCUGGGUGUGCUGUGGCCCUGGGUGUGCGGUGGCCUUGGGUGUGCGGUGGCCCUAGGUGAGCAGUGGCCCUGGUUGUGAGGUCACUCUGGGUGUGCUGUGGCCCCGGGUGUGCUGUGGCCCUGGGUGUGUGGUGGUCACUCUGGGUGUGCUGUGGCCCCGGGUGUGCUGUGGCUCUGGUUGUGCAGUGGCCCUAGGUGAGCAGUGGCCCUGGUUGUGAGGUCACUCUGGGUGUGAGGCGGCCCCGGGUGGGAUAUUGACCAGAGGGGAGAGGGGCCUUUCUAGCGUGAUGGAAACUUGAUGCAUCUCCAUUGAUUGUGCACCUUUAUCAGAACUUAUCAGCACGUACAGUCAGAAUCUGAAGAUUUCAUUGUAUGAAAAGUAAAUCUCAUGAACUUAUUAAGAAUUAAUGCAUAUUUAUAAGUUUUAAGUUAAAAAUAUAUGCAAAGUAUGUCUGCUUCCUUAUUUUUUAUUAUCACUUUCACCAUUUUAAACUUUAUAAUUUUAAUUAACUAACAGACCAUGUUGGCUUCAGAAAUGUGUUCCUUCUCUCUGUUACUUUCAUAAUGAAGGAAUAAAUGUAUUUUAAAUAAAAUUUUACAAUUUUCACCAUCACCUGGGAGGCUCAUGAUCCUGUAUGAAAGGGAAACACCGUCGUGCUAGAGUCAGAACUUUUCUGAUUAGAAAUUUAACAAAGUUGAUGACCCUGAGUGUCCUGGAGCCUGAAACACAGAAGACGGCCCACCCUUGAAUUCUAACAGGCCCAGCCAGCAGAGGCCAGGAACCCGCCCUCUCCAGCCCUCCUUUCUCUGGGCCGAUGGGCAGGGGCACUGGGGACCCCAGGAGCCUACUGGCCCCAGUUCUCCGGCAGGAUGCCCACUGGGCCCAGGGGGGAGGGGAUCAUCCGGGUGGGUCCCCUGGCUGGGCAGGGAGCUGCUGCCAUUAGCAGAGGUGCCGACGUGCUAAGUACACCUGGGAAAACGGGACUGAAUGCUUGUCUGCCUGAGAGAACUUCACCCCUGCACCUGCUCCAGUCAGACGCGCGCCCUCGACCACAGCUGCCUGCAGGGCUGGUCACUGAUGCGAAUGCCAGCCUGGGAUCUCUGUUCCUCCCUCCACCGGCCUCCUACCUCACUUCUCACCAUCCCUGGGGCUCAGAAACCACUCCAGGCCCCCAGCAGGUCCAGAGACCCCAUCUGCACUGCUUCCCUGAGACACCACCAGCUGACAGAGAGGCUGCAGCUCCUCCUGCUGCGGUGGCCAGAGGCCCUGCUGUGCCUCCACGGGCUCCUGGGGACGGAGUCAGGCUCAAGGGCACGUGCUGCUUCUGAAGGAGUGGUGUGUGCACACGGGAGAGCGCCACUGUCUCCCUGUACACACGGUGCAACGUGUGGGUGAAGCCACCUGCACGAGAGGCAACGAGGCGCGGGCAGACAGCUGCUGCUCUGCGGGCCGGGGUGGCCCUCCUGUCUGCUCAUCUCAGGCCGGACACUGCCCCGCACUGGGCCUGCAGCCCCAGGCAGACCCCCACUCACAGGGUGCAGAGGAUGGAGCCCGGCUGGUGUUCCGGGUAGCUGGAGUUGACGCUCACCUGGCGUCUCUUCGUGGGAGGGGUUUCUGGCCAGUGUCAGGCUCUGACACCACUGGAGGCCCUGGGAGACCUGGAAGGACUGGCCUUCUCAAGUGAGCUGAGGCAAGAGGACCCCUGAGGGAGGCCUGAGGGAGAGGCUGAGCUCCAGACUCCAGCCCCACAAUGCUGGGUGAUUCUGAGCCUCUCGGGGCCACGCCAGGACCCAGGGGUGCCCGGAGGGAGCACCUCCCAGGAACCAGAGAGCAGCUCUCCCCAAAGCCCCAUGCAGGGACAUUUGCUGAUAAAAGAAUGAACUGCAGGGAGGGCUGGAGCAGCCACGCCCUGGGGGGAUGGGGUCCCUCAUGCUGGAGUGGGACGCUCCUCUCCCUUCUGGGUCAGGGCUCAGCUCGGCUCUGCCUGCUCUUGAUCCUCUGCCGGCCCUGCCAGGCUCGGGAAUCAGGCCUGUAGGCCUGUCCCUUCACAGCUGCUCCAUGCUCUGGGCUCGCACCAUGUUCAUCCCUGCACAUUCGCAGUCCAGAGGUCAGGGGUCAGGAGAGCACAGAGGCGAGUGUGCACAGAGACACCUGGAGUGCCACACAAGGGGCCACAGGGAGCUGACCCCGGAGGGCCCCUUGGAGUUUCAGAUCAGGGGGCUCCAGUAAGGGGAGACCCCCAGACUAGGGGCCUCAUCUCAAACGCCUCAUUAACGCCUUAUGGGCGGUGACUUGGCAGGAACCCCACACCCACCACGCAGGGAGUCCCUUGCCCAUGGGCCAACCCAGAGGAGCAACUACCAGGCGCCUCAUCCUGGGGCGACUCCCUCCCUUCCUUGGGGUUCUCUUUGCAGUUACGCAACUGGGGCCACCAGUGGCAGACAUCACACGCAGAGGUCACUUUGACCUUCGUCACAGCAUCUGCCCUAAGGCACUCUCUCCAGCAGGGAGAGGGCAGCGCAGGUGGACAUCUAGGGACGGCAGCCACUCCCUCCCAUCAGGCCUGUAGUGCCCGCAUCUCUGAACACGGGAUGACAUGUGGGGACUCCAGGACUGGAGCCUCUCGGGGGGGCCUGCAUCUAGUUUCCAAAGCAACUCUGACUCUCAAACCAUUGGAGACCCCUCCUUAUUCGAGGUACUCUCCUGAUUUGGAGGAGAGAUUUAGAAUAAGUAUGUAAGAUCGGGCAGAGCUGUGAUACAACACAAGCCAGCACAGCUGAGCUGGAGACCAUGACAGACAUGCUGCUGUGGGGUGGCCAGUGCCAAGCCUGGGACCAGAGGAGGAGGAACGUGGCAGCACUGUGGUGCGUCCUGUGCCAGAAUUGGGACCUAGACACAGGAGAAGCGUGUGCGUGGUGGGCAAUCCUGACAAACUGGGACGGGACUGCUGGGCUGUCUCCUGGGAAUGUGAGCACCGCAGGCUGUGGUUACCGGUCGAGGUCAGCCGUAGGCGUGACGAGGAUAGAGGUGUCACACACUCCUACUUCUGGACAGAGAGUGGUCUCUGUGACUGAUGAAGACCAGCCUGGUGUCCCCCUAGCGUCCACUGCAGCUGCUCCCACGGGGGCCAGAGCCCAAAGCACAGGACCCACUGCAGGUGGGGCAGGCGGACCCUGUGCCAGAUGGAGAAUUUCAGGAGAUCUGGUUAACGCCGAGAUAGUCCAGUUCUCAAUGGGGGUCGUGGCCACCCAGGUGCUGACAUGUUCCAAAAUUCACCAGACGCACACUUAACAUGCCUGUGUUCUAUCGUACGGAAGUUACACCUUCAUAGAGCUGACUUUCACUAAGAAACAAACCGUAUCUGGGGCGAUACAUCUUCUACUGGGUGUUUAUAAAGCCCUCAGAACUCAAUCGUUCCCCUCGUUUGUCAGCACCACCCAGGGCCCGUCCUCGCACGUCUGCAGCCCGAGCGCAGUCUACACAACACCCACGCCCUCCUCGACCUCUAGCAGCUUUGUUGCCUCUGACAGGGAACAGGCAGUAACCUGCAAAUGCGGCACAUCCGACCCUCAGCGUGUCAGUUGGGCGGCAAGUGUCCACUGUGUCUGCCAGCCUGGGCACGGUACUAGGAGAAGCUGGAGGUAUGAACUAGUGUCCACACCGUAUCCUAGAAGGGCAGAGACACAGCGGAGUAAGCGCAGACCAGCGCCAGUAACUGGAUACAGGGCCAUGGCCAGAGCUCAGGGAGGCUGUAACCACGGGCCACCAGGACCGAUUCAAACUGACCGUCUUACCAAGAGCGACUGAGCUGUGUCUCAGGAACUGAGAGGCCUCUUGUCCAGUUCAGGCCUGUUGAGACCACCAACCCACCACCUGGACCUGUCGAAUGCCCAGUCAGUGACUCUCUGCCAUCAGGGGCUGCAAACCCCACCCUCAGGUCACCUAACACCUCAUCUGUGAGUAGGCGUCCUGUGAGAGCAUGGAGCUUGACUGCGCUGGUGCAGGCCGUCAAAUACGUCACUUCCCUCCUCAGUCGCUGUCUCCACACCUCAGACCACCCCCCAUCCCACAAAUUGAGCGCAAGUCCUGGGUCUGGAACACACCUCUGAGAGCUCUGACUCCCGCCUCCUGGCUGGCCGACCUCGAAAAAGCUGGUGGUGUGAUCAUUGGCUUUUUACGGGCAUCGGGCAGAGAACCCUGUCUUUGUGUGGUGAUGUGGCCACAGAGAAGGGAUGCACAUGUCCUCCAGGUCAGGGAGGGAUGCGGAGAGGUGGCCUCUGAGGGCGGUCUCAGAAGACACAGCACAGAGGGAGGAAGGAGGGAGCAUGAGAAAGGGCAUCCCAGACAGGUGACCUCGGAGAUGGGGAAUGAUGAGGGACCAUGUCUUUCAGGGACCACAGCAGCUCAGUGAAGCUGGAAUGCAGGGAGCAGGACAGAGGCUGGGCAGAAAUAGAGAGAAGGGAAAGGAGGGAGGGACGGAAGGAGGAAAGGAGGGAAGGAGGGAGGGAGGGAGGGAGGGAAGCAAAGGAAGGAGGGAAGGGAAGGAUGGAAGAGGAGGGAGGGAGGGCAGAAGGGAAGGAAAGGAGGGGGGAGGGAAGGAAGGAAGGAGAGAGGGAAGGAGGGAAGGGAAGGAUGGAAGAGGAGGGAGGGAGAGCAGAAGGGAAGGAAAGGAG